This is a long non-coding RNA of Bos taurus (domestic cattle), 1337 nucleotides long. The record is from Ensembl. Lineage: Eukaryota; Metazoa; Chordata; Mammalia; Artiodactyla; Bovidae.
ACAGCAGCAAGUCCUGGUAAGGAACAUGGAACUAACAAGUUACCACCAAAUGAAAUAAUUUGGGAAAGGUCAGAAGGAGAGAGACGACACCAGCCCACAGGUCCUACAACCUCCCAGAGUCCUCCUCGCUGGAGUCCACCUUGGCUGAGCAACAUGUGCACCGCCAGGAAGCGCCCCGAGUCAGGAUGACUGGACAGACAACCCGGAGGGACCAGGCGCCACGCUUCCGAGCAGUGCUCCUGGGCCCGGGUGCCCCUUCCCAAUAGUCUCUGGCUUUGCCAGCACGCGGUCUCCUCGGACAAUUCAUUCACCAAAGGUUAGACAAGCGCCCACUCUCAGGCUCUGGAAGGGGUCCCCCUUCCUGCAACAGGAAGACGAGAGACACAGCCAGACCGGUGUGAAGACAAGACCAACACCAAGGGCAGUGGACAGCCCUAGAAGGUGGAUGAGGCAGCAAGAGCCUCCCCGGAGCCACAGAGUGGCCUGAUCUGACCUCCGACCUCCAGACUGUGAAGGGACUCGAGCCCCCAAGCCUGUGGCGUUUUUAGGCAGCCCUGGGAAAGGAACAGACCCUGAAAGCAAACAGGCCUGAGUCCAAGAGUUCAGAGUCCAUUGGAAAGGUGGCCGAGCAUGAUCAGCAUGAACAGGCCUAAGAUGGAGUCCUGGCCCUAUGAAUUCCUUCUUCAGCAGGUGACGUGACUCUAUCCACAGCAGAUGGCAGUGGAGCCAAAGUUCCCAUGGUGGGGGCAGGGGUACACCCUCACUGUGCAGGUCCUUCCCACCUCCUUAUUCACUUAUUCCAGACCAGUUCUGUCCUCUCCAGGCAAGGCGUCAAGGCAGGUCCUCAUGAGGGAUGGAUGCCACAGAGCGGAGGAACAGAGACAAGUGCUCUGAGUGGCGGGACUGGGAUUCCGUGUUGAGGACAUGCGUCCCACACAGAGGCAGCGAGGCUGUGGAACUGGGGGCAUCAGAGGCACACGGGCAUGAACUCAGUUUCAAUCCAAGUGGCUACAGACAGAGGUGCAUGGACAAACGUGUGUGUGCGCCCUCCCAUGUCCCUGAGCUCGUCCAGAGUCCCCUCCCACUGGAGGGCCCGAGGCUCCUCAGAGUGGCACGGGGACAGCAGAGCUCGGACACCUGUCAUCCAGAAAGGAGGGGGGCUCCCACUGGCCAAGGCCCAGAUGCUGGGGCAGGAGCAGGAAAUAGGACAUUGAAUGAAUGAACGAAUGGAGACUCCAGCAAGGAGUAAGACCUUUGGAGUCCACACAGCCAGAAACAAGCCACGUGGAAACUACAGCCUCCUGACAAGCAGUGCCAGGCAACGAUCCUUCACAGAG